Molecule: ribosomal RNA, 468 nt
Filed under: uncultured bacterium
Lineage: Bacteria
Description: partial 16S ribosomal RNA
Rfam family: Bacterial small subunit ribosomal RNA
Source: RNAcentral
GACGAACGCUAGCUACGGGCUUAACACAUGCAAGUCGAACGGCAAGGCCCUGCUUUUGUGGUGUGCUCGAGUGGCGAACGGGUGAGUAACACGUGAGUAACCUGCCCUUGACUUUUGCAUAUCUUCAGCAAACUGGGGCUAAUACCGGAUCGGAACUCCUUCUGCAUUGUGGGGGUUGGAAAGUUUCGGCGGUUGGGGAUGGACUCGCGGCUUAGCUUCUUGUUGGUGGUGUAGUGGCUUACCAAGGCUUUGACGGGUAGCCGGCCUGAGAGGGUGACCGGCAAAAUGGGGAAUGAGCUACGGGAGAGAGUCGUAAGGGAGACAGCAGUGGGGACUAUUGCAUGAUGCGCCGAAGCCUGAUGAAGCAACGCCGCGUGCGGGGUGACGGACUUCGUGUAGUAAACCGCUUUCGCGUGUGACGAAGCGUGAGUGCAGGUAAUGGGUAAAGAAGCACCGGCUAACUACGUG